GAAAUGCAUAGGACUGGUGGACUGGUAUUUUAACUACCACAAUGGCUGUUUUUAACUGAGAUGUAAGUGAUUAAAAUUUUCUUUGCACUUUAUUCGCAUUUGCAUUACAUUUCUUGCACUUUCUUCUUUUAACAUCUAUUGUUCAAUAAUACUGAAGUCAAAAGGCAUCAGAAGACACACAUUGAUAUCAUCAACUAUAUGAUGAAGGCUUGAAUUUGGCAUCUAAAGUGUGAGUGGCCAAUUAUACCCAACUUUGAUUUUAAAUCAACACAGUUAAGCACUAUGUUAUGCGUUUCUUCUCAUUCUUCCCAGCAGACCCACCCCUAUUGUGUGUUUUGUAUUUAUAUUUGAAGAUUGAGGAAGUCUUCGGGGUAGAGUUUAUUCUGCAUAAGGAAAGUUUGAGUCCAUCUUUUAUUCACACUGUUUUAAUAUUUAAAGGGACACUAUAGUCACCAGAACAACUACAGCUUAUUGAAUUUGUUCUGGUGAGUAGAAUCAUUACCUUCAGGCUUUUUGCUGUAAACACUGUCUUUUCAGAGAAAAUGCAGUGUUUACAUUACAGCCUAGUGAUAACUUCACUGGCCACUCCUCAGAUGGCUGUUAGAGAUCCUUCCUGGGUCAUGGCUGCCUAAAAUGCAUCCAAACAUUCAGUAUCUCCUCCCUCUGCAUGCAGACACUGAACUUUCAUCAGAGAUUCAUUGAAUCAAUUCAGCUCUAUGAGCAGAUGCUGAUUGGCUGCUCUGCCUCUUUGUCAGUCUCAGCCAAUCCUAUGGGGAAGCAUUGUGAUUGGAUCAGGCUACCACUUCUGAUGAUGUCAGCAGACUGCUUGUUUUUUUGAGGCAAACAGCAUGCAGAGUUACAGCUUCUGGCUUGAAUACAGUAAGAGGGGCCCAGGAGGGCUAGAUAGUGGUUUUAACACUAUAGGGUCAGGAAUACAUGCUUGUGUUCCUGACCCUAUAGUGAUCCUUUAAGGGUUUUGAUUGUCACAUUGUAUAUUUCUACAUUAACCCCUUCCUGACCACGGACGUAUCAAGUAUGUCCGUCAAAACAUGGUUCUUAAGGACCACAGACGUACCUAGCGUACCACGGCAAAUUUGAGCGCUGGAAGCAAUCAUGAUUGCUUCCAGAUGCUCUGAGGGUAUUGCAGAGCAAUGUAUCUAGUAAUGUAUCUGUGGCUCCUAGUCCCCCUGCCAGAAGGAGACGUGCUGCUCCAGCUGAGUAGUGCCUCAUCGCCAGAGACCAGAUAUCCCACCCUUCACUGCAAAUCCUGGCAUCAAUGUGGAUGUCGCAGGAUUUAGCCCUCAGCAGUUUAUGGAGAUGUUUCUGGGCGACACCCACUGGGAGACCAGCUCAGCCGUCCGAAUUGAAUCCUCUCAACAUCCUCUCAAUGUUGGGAGGUAUGCAUGGACUUUCCAUACUCUCUUUUACCUCUCUAAUCUUUUUUUUUCCGGUUACUGAGUUGUUGGUACCAUUUAUUAAUUUUCCAGCCUUAUCCACUCAGUGCUACCCAUGUGCAGAGAGCACUGUUGAAGCACUCUGAGCAUUUGGAUUAAUACCAAAUUUAUUUUGUGCAGAAUGAGCUCAUCCAAUGAUACGCUGAUUGAGCAAAGUUUCCUUGUAUCCACAUAUGCAGGGCAUCAAGAAACAAAAUACUUAGGAUGGAAGAACACAACCUCAAGAACGCAUCUGCCAUAACUAUUCACGAGCAUGCCACAGGUCUAUGGCAGAAGGGCAAGUCAGGUGUGUGCACUGGAGAAAACACACUGUUGAAAAGAGGACAUUAUACUUUAGAUCCCUCAAAAUCUCAGAACUUCUGUGGCACUUGCAAGAGGGUAUAUAAUUAUAAAAAAACACCAUGGAGAUAUUUAUUUUUCUUAUAUAUAUUUGCCCACUGUAGAGUUAUGUUGCCAUAAUUUCCCUGAUGCUCCCUACAUGUAAUUUUGUUUAAUAACGGUUUGAUAACUUGCCUUGGGUCCACUUACUGCCUAACGCUCCUGGAAAGAGCUUCUGUUAGCUCUACUAACCUGAGCCAAGCCAAUUGGCUGAGAGCAUCAGAUAUAUGCUAGGCUGAGCUCACAACAGAACUUGAGGCAGACAAGGCAGCUUCUGAUGGCCAGCAGUUGUCAAACCUUUCUCAAACAGUGUGACUACUUACUCGGUGGGGAGAAGAGCUGCCAUGAAGCUCCUGGUACUGUAAACAAUACAGGAAAGGGGUAUAAUUCUAAAUAUAUAGGAAAACACUCUAACAUUAAUAACAUAUGUUAGUAUGUUUGUAUGCCACAUUUGCGGAUAGGGGCCUCUGGGGGUCCCUUCUGCCCGGUGCAGUUUUUGGGAGCAUACUUAGCGGUUAGACUUGUUUGGGUGGGUUCGUUGUUGGUUCAUCUCGAUGGGUCUUCGUUAACUCGAUAUCAGUUCUCCUCUAGGUUAAGGGCGGUCUUGCUGGCAGGCAGUGGUGACGUCUCUGGCACACUCCUUUCGGAUUGGUGUUGCCACGCUAGCAGGCAUGUUACGUUUUUCAGAGGCUGCGAUUAAGCGAUUGGGUAGGUGGGAGUCGGGUCGGUUUAGGUUGGACAUGCGACUGCACCUGUAGUGAUGUUUUCUUUCUCAUAGGUGCCCUGCGCUUUGUCUGGAUCCUGGGUCACUCUUGUGUUUAUUGGGCAGCGCACAGAGCAGAGGAAAGGUCCCAUGGGAGGAACUUAAGCUUUCCAUUCAAAGAGGCCAGGGUUCGGUGGCGAGGUGUUCGAGGGCUCUCCUGCGGGCAGUUUUACGCAGAAUGUGUGCAAUUACGGAGGUUUGUUUCAGGGUCAGUUACGUUAGUGGUGCACGUUGGGGGCAAUGAUUUGGGUCGGGUUCAGACAGUGGAUCUCAUCUAUCUGAUUAAGCUGGAUUUGGCCUGGUGCAUGGCGCUCUUCUGAGACCUCACGCUUAUUUGGUUCUAAAUGGUUCCGCGCCCAUGUUGGCGUGGCGAAAAUUGAACAUGACGGUGGCCAGGUUUGUUCGAUGUCUCGGUGGCAUAGUGGUCUGUCACGUGGAGCUGGAGGGGGACAACUUGGACUUAAUGCAGAGAGAUGGAGUCCACUUAUCGGGCAUUGGGUUGGAUAUUUUUAACCUGGGUAUACAGUCCGGUGUGGAGGUGGCGCUGACUGCGGGGGGCGCAAUGCCCACAGGAGGGACCGGGCAGGUUCGACAUCACGGUGGCGGUGUUCCUGGCCAGUGUAUUGGAAAUUGAAGGAAAUGAUGAGUCAAAUUGGGGAGUCGCAGCCUGCCGAAGGCUGAUGGCCGUAGGCAGGCUUAUACGCACUCAUGGAUAAGGAAGUGGAAUCUGUCUGUUGGGGGAAGUCCUUCAAUAGCUGCCAGUUGGAUGGAAAGCUGGUCUGUUUAUAAAGUUAAUAAAGCUGUGGCUGUUACCCUUACCCAUAAUUAUUGAGUGGUGUGUUUAUUUGUGGAGGGCAACGGGAGGUGGGUAUUGGGGCAGCAGUCAAGCACUCCAACAUUAAUAACACAUGUUAGUAUGUUUGUAUGCCACAUUUUAUGCCUCAUUGAACACUCAUAUUAAAUAACUUUACUAUGAACUUUGAUAUAUGUGUCAAACUAUCCCUGAUCUUGCUUUAAAGCACUCAUUGAUGAGUCUACGAUCACUAUUCUACAUACAAAACCAAGGGAAGGGUGUUAUAUAAGCAAUGGAAAAUAAUGACAUAACUAUAUUAAUAUUCUUAUUAGUUUAUCAUACAGCUACCAAAAUAUCUUGUACAUUUAGGGACAAAGCAUCAAAUUAUGAAAUUAUUUUUAGUAAGGGAAUAUAACAUGACUGUUAAGGUGUGUCUCUUGCUAUAACAUUAAAGGCUAUUACAAUGUAUUCUGUAAUGAAAAUCACUGCAUAAGUCAAUGUGUUAACCUAGUCACAUUAUUGGUGACGUUUGUUCCACAUAAGACAGAAUAGCUAGGCAAUCUGACAACCACAUAAAACUACCUAUGCAUCAAGACUGCAAAGAUUUCACUUGUAGAAAAUCAUUUAGUUGCAUCAGGAAUUAUGAAUUUUAUUAAGACACCGAGGCUCCUAUUAUGCUGCACUCUUUCUUUAUUUCCCCCAGCAGCAAAGAAAAAUAACAUUAAAUCAGUAUAAAAAGAAACCAGUAAAUAACAUGAGAGGUAUAUCUUCCUAGCAACAGGAACAGCCAAUCAGCAUCCUUUUCAUAGCAUAGUAGGCGGUGUCCAGUAUACUACUUCCUCUUUCUUUGCUGCUCCCUCAGUUAAGUGACACUGGGUUACACAGUUCUUAAGUGUGGGAUCUGUUACUUUAUUCAUAUCAUUACUGUGGUUAAUAUAGUAAUUAUUAUAGUUAUUACAUUUUAAUUAUAUUUUCAUAUUUAUAAAUAUAUUUAGUUACUUCAUUUUAACUUAAUUUGAUGUAUUUACUCCAUUUGAUUUAGUUAUAUGCUAUAUUGUAUAUGCUUUUAUAAUUUCUUUACCCUCUGACAUCCCUGGCCCUAAGAUUACCAUCAAUUGGGGCUCUGGGAUGUCUUUAAGGAUCUUUUUUUUUUGUAAAUAUAAUUUUUAUUAUUUUUCGGUACAUGACAUUAAACUGAGGUAUCAAGCAUAUAUCAAAAACAAGGAGACACGCAGGUCUCAAACAACAAUAGCAGAAGAAAGGUGGUGGUUAUGUACCAUGUGGGCUCGCAGGCCCCAUUGGCUCGCAGGCUUCAAUCGUGUGUCACACUAGUCACCUAAAGUAUUCGAGGUGGUAUGUCGCUCGUCUCGACAAGCUGGUCUCUGGGUACUAACGAUAGUGAGGGUGUGCAGACCAAUCUGUAGGUCUUGUGUCUUGUCUAAGGUUGUGUCUCAAAUGUUCGCCAGCUAUAGGGCGAGUGGGCUUUCCCCAUUCUCGCCCCAUGUCUCGACUAUGGUGCCUAUCAUGUUGUGUGGUACCACUCCAGCCUCAGUCUAGGAGCCUGGUCCUGUCAAGUAGGCCUGCAUAUUGUGUCUUUAGUAUCAGUGCAUGGCAAUCUCUGCUGGAUGCGGUGUUGGUUACCAGCCGCUUCUGUAUGGACUUUCGCCAAUCACAUGUUUGUGAGGUUCCCAUUACAGGGAAGGGUGUCCUGCCAGCAUCAGGGCAUAUCAGGACAUUUUCCUGCAAAGGCGUGUAAGGGCCAGGUUUAACUGAGAGGGAGGAUAAAAAGAAGAGGGAAAAGAGGAGGGGGUUUGGUCUGUUAGGGGUGUGAAGGGAGGGGGCGUCCUACUCUCCGCGUGUGGAGAAAGGAACAGCUAUCGUGCUGUUUUUUCCUUUCAUUCAUCUGUCUGGUCACUGCUCUGACCCCAGCUACCACAAAUCUAAGUUGGGGUUUAGUUGUAGUGGCGGACAGACAGCUCCUGCGUUUUCCUUUGGAAAAGGGCAAAAGCCCAACUGAACUCUGAGUCUGAGCUCAGUGAUAUUGAGGAGCAGUUCCCUGAGUCCCAUAUGGAGGAGUACCUGUACUCACACCUGCUCUGCUUCAGCCUGGCUGCAAGCCCUCAUAUAAGACUAAACACUCAGCCAAAACAAUAGAGAUGGACAGUACCAUUCCUGUCACGGAUAGCGCGACACUGAUAGGAUCUUGGACACUCAAGUUGAAUCCCUAUUUGAACCUAACAACCUAUGUCACCCAGUGGUCUCCUCAGACCCCGUAGCCAAGUUUAUUGCAUCCAGAGUAUGCAAUCCUUUUGAGAAGGCAAAGUGAAAUAAAUUGCGGGCUGAAUGCCCACGCCGAACAGUCCCUGAUGACUUGUAAAACGCUAUCAGUCGAUCCUAAGAUCAUUCUAUUCCUGAGUAAGACAAGAUGGAAACCUACUAAAGGCUUAGAUUUUCAUUGAAAAACUGUCAGGAUAAAAUCCUGGACAUCUUGGGUCCAGCAGCCAAGAUCUUUGAAGCAGUAGAGGAUGAUCUAGAAUUAGAUCACACCAUCUUAAGUAGUUACAAUGCGGUUGUCACAGAAUGCCGUAAAUCUAUCUUGCUCAAGAUUGAGCCCAAACGUGUAACUAUGGCUCUGAAUAAGCCAGAUAACACAGACAAAAGGUUUUCUCUUUGGGGACAACUUUGUAAAAGAAUUGGGCUCCUUUGUCUGGCUGAAUAAACAGAAGUUCUUUUAGACAGAACCAAGGCUCUUAUACUGGCCGAGAUGAUUUCUUUGCAAAAUGCUCUAUACCAACCUUCUUCCCACUACGUGUUUAACCCUGGGUCGUUAGUGGCCCAAGAGUUGCUCCUUCAGGAUGAAGACCUUAUGGUAAGUCUUCACAAUCUCUAUUCUUCCCUACUGAUAGUGGGGGAGCAGUCUCACACAUUUUUCCCAUGUAUGUUCCUUCAUUUUAUCAGAUGCUUAGGUUCUUCACACUGUGAAAGGGUAGUGCAUAGGCUUCCUUUUUCUACUUUUCUCUACCAUGGAGGGUGUAACGGAGCUCCCUGUACCCCUGGCUGGGUACUUCCACCAAGGACCUCUUCCUAGCUGGAACAGGGGACAAACCGCAGCACUUCUGCCCACAGUCACCGUGGCUUGACUGGGGCCCUGGAACCGCUCCUUGCUGGAGCCGAAUGGGGAAUUAGCUCCAGUCCUUACAAGGACUUUCCCCGUCGAAUCCCCUGCAAGCUGGAACAGCAGACACACAAGUAAAUCUUUCCCUCCAAUAACAGGACAACACACAGUUUUGGAGUGUAAGCUGGAAUAGCAUUUUAAUGGAUGCACACUGGCCUUUUAUGCAAGUUUCCCAACAAGGGUGACACCCAGAUGGACCUUGUUGGGCACAGGGACACAAAGUGAACAAAUCAAUAAAAACAGAGUCAUACAAUGAGACACUCCCAUACACAAACAAGAGAAUCCCUGCUCUGUGCUUGGGAGAUAAUUGAAUCAGGAACUGUACUAAUCUAACAUAAUUAUUUCCAAGCACAGAGAAAACAUACAAUUUUAUGAAACCCCAAAAAGUACCUUAAAAACACACAAAAACACACAUCCCCUGAUAGCCCCGAUCUGGGUGAACAACAUAUCCAAAAAUCCCCCAGAUCGGUUCAGGGUUUCAGGAAUUUCCUGGAAGUCAUAGUUUUGACCGACCACAAGCAUUGCCCCACGCCCAAAACAGUUCCAGGAAAAUCAGUGCUAGCAGUCGGUCAAGUUUGGUAGUCGUUUACAGGUUUCCCUGCAGGGCCCAUAGUCUGUGGGCAGGAGGCUGGCAAACAGGCUCCCCCAGGAGCUCGUGGCAAACUCACUUGGAGAGGGGAGUUUGUCACAGAGGGAAUCUUUUUUUUCCCAACAAGACGCAGACCUUGUCUCUGUGGAAAUAAAAGAACUGAUGCGCAAACAAGCCAUCGUAGAGAUUUUGGCCCAUACCCUGGGUUACGUGAGCAACCUUUUCUUGGUUCCCAAAAAAGGUUAAGGUGUACGUCCAGUGAUAAAUUUGAGACAGCUCAAUGGUUAUGAGGCAUAUCAGCACUUCCAAGAUGGAAGGAGGGCAUUGCUUAAGGGAUCUGCUCCAACCAGCAGAUUGUAUAUGCAGGAGUCAUAUCUCACAGUGCCUAUCGCAGUCCAACAUCAAGAUUUCAUCAAGAUCAAGAACUUCCUGCAGUUCACAUGGUAGUGCAGGAAAUGGAGCUCAUUAAAGCUCACCAAGCUCAUGAAACCUAUGGUCACCCUGCUACGGAGUCGGGGAGUACAUCUUAUAAUAUAUUUAGAUGUCAUUUUCAUUCUGGCUCACUCUAUUCAAUUAAUCCAGACAUACCUUGCAUGGACUUUGACUCUGUUAGAGAACCUAGGUUUCCUGAUCAUUUGGGAGAAAUCCAUUAUCAUUCCCACGCAACAAAUCAAAUUUCUGGGUUAUAUUGGAUUAUUGUAGAUUCUACCCUUCAAACUCUACACCUUACGGUGGCAAAAUAUCACAAUAUCACACUAGCAACUUAUCAACUCUCUCUCAAACAACUGUUGAGAAUGUUAGGCCUUCUAGUGGCAUCUAUACAGGCCAUUUUUCCAGGUCUUCUUGGCUAUCGAGCCCUACAACGAUUACAAACUUCAUGUCAAGGGCAGCGCAUCAUACACAGAUAUGGUAACUCUGGACUCAGAAGCCAAGGACGAACUCCAAUGGUGGCUUCUUCACAUGAAAGCUUGGAAUUAAUGCACCAUAUUCUGUACAGCACCAGAUUUGAUAAUCAAAUCCGAAGCAAGUUUGCACGGUUGGGGCGCUCAAUGUGGAAAUCUUUCCACCAAGGGCAAAUGGUCAGACCUGGAAUCGACACUCCACAUCAAUUGUUUGGAACUUCUGGCCGGUUCCUUUACAGUCCGCAGUUUCUCCCCAACUCAAGCCCAAUGCUCUAUCCUUCUGAAGAUGGACAACAUGUCAGCUGUCCGCUACAUCAAUCACCUGGAGGUACAAAAUACAAAAUUCUGACCUACAUGGCUUGCGAUUUCUGGCAAUUUUGCCUGAUGCACGGCAUUUCAGUCAUGGCAGAAUAUAUUCAAGGUCUCUCCAACACUACGGCGGACUGGUAUUCACGCCAAUACAGAGAUUCCUGCGACUGGCACUUGGAUUCCACAGUCUUCCAACAUCUAGAACCUACGGGGGUCUAUUGGAAAUAGAGCUUUUCGCUUCUCGUUUGAAUUUUCACCUUCCCCGUUUUUUCAGUUGGAGACCAGAUCCGACAGCACUGGAUACGAAUGUUUUCUCCCAAGAUUGGUCUUCUUCGAGGAAUUACGCUUAUCCGCCCUUUGCACCGAUUUCCCCAUUGCCUUUCCAUCAACGUCGCUAAUCCGGCACCUGGUGACAGUGGCUCCUCUAUCGCCAUCCCAACCAUAGUUCCCUCCUCUUCAGGAGAUGCCUAUCGACCUUCCACGUCUCCUUCCAUCUAUUGAGUGCCUUCUUCAGGAUUCAGACAGUGUGCCUUAUCCCCUCGUUCUCCAAGGUCUCUUGCAUCUCAUGGUGUGGUUGAUUUUAGGGCACUUUGGUCGGUCGAGGGAGUUUUGCAAUCAACUCUCUGACUUAUCAAGGGUGCACCCGAUGAGACAAGCUUAUAAAUCUGCUUUGAGGAACAGCUGGCAUAGUUGGUGCAUGAAAUUAAAACUGGAUCCCAUAUCGGCUGCUUUUAUUUCUGUCCUCCAUUUUUCUGACUUCUCUGUAUGAUGAAGGUAAAGCCUAUCGCACUGUGAACCUUACCGAUCUUACCGAUCGUUUGUUUCUGCUGGUCGUCAAAGUUUCGAUUGGACGCCUGUCAGUUGACAUCCUGUCAUAUGUCGACUUCUCUGAGGAAUUUGUUAUGCUCAUCCAUACUUACCACGAUACUAUGUCUUGUGGGACGUACUCUAUUGUCUUGAAUUUUUUUAUUGAAAGAGAUUUUCUGACGUACAAGCUCUUGAGGUGGUUGCUCGUUCCUUUACUCCAGAAGGUGUCCCCUUUGACAUUUCUCGGAGGACAAAAACCUCCUCUAAAAUUGUUUUAUACCCAGCUUUUCCUGAUAGAUCUCUCCUUUGCCCUAUUAUAUACUUAUGGGAGUGUGAACUUACGUUAUGGAAUCCUUUAAAACAAGAACUCUUCAUCUCCUUCCAAAAGUCGCGACCUUCGGUGUCUACCCUAGCCCGGUGGGUCAAGUACGUUAUGUCUCUAGCAGGUACUGAGACCUAUGUGUUUUGGUUCGUGGGGCAAUGUCUUCUAAGGCCUACUCGAUUUGCUGUCGCUUGGAGGAUAUUAUGAGAGUGGCUCGUCUUCGGAGUCUACAUUCCAUGAUUUCCACUUUAGACCUAUUCAACACUUCACAGGAGACAUAAUUUCACAGAUUUAAACUAGCAUAAUAGGAGCCUCCAUGUCUUAAUAAAAUUCACUGAUUUUACUAUUAACAUGCCGUAAAGUCAUGAUUUUAUUAAUGACAUGGAAGCGAAUAUUAUCCCUCCCAUCCCUGGAGGUUUGGUCUUCUCUAGGUAAGUUGACUUCACGGUAAGUCUUUUUUAUAUUACUGGGUUUUAUCCUUGUUAAUGACUGUCAAGAGCUUAAGGUUUGACUAAACCGAAUUUUAUGUUAUGUAUAUAUAGCUGAUAUUCCAAUAUUCCAUGUAAUGCGAUUUUAUGCAUACAUCCAGUUUUUACUUGGAUAUUACAAUAUUCUCCUUUCUCCUCCAGCUGUACUUCGAGGUCCAGGUUAAGGCUUGCAUACCCUCUUAUUGGAGCCCACCUUUUUAUUUUAUUUUUUUUUUUAAAUCUUUAUUUUUCGUCCGUGAAAAUGGCAAACAUAUGUGUAAGGCCACAGUAGUCUUUACACAUCAAAACAGUGAAUAUCAUGUAAAUAAAUGUCUAGGAUCGUUUCACAAACAUUUUAUAGAUACAAUUGGUCUCAAUGUUAUAACGAGUGAUGUAAGUCGGGUAAUCGUGAUGAUAGAGGGUACCUAUCUGUCAAUAUCGCCCCUUGUAUUGUAGGGUCGUGAGCUGCGGGAACAGGGUGGGAAUGACUAAAUCUGGGUAUUGUGUCUAAUGUCUCGCCCUUUGUCCCGAGGAUGUGGGUUUAUGAGUCGUAGGGUGUCCCUUCAGUCUAGUGGUGGCUGCGUGUAGUCGCUAAAACAGUUCAUAGCUAUGGCUAGUGUGUCUAGACGAUUAUAGGUCGCUGUAAUAUGGCAGGAUCAGGUCGGACCCGUGUGGUUCCAGGCUAUGGUUAUCAACCUAGUGGAUGUGCCUGAUGCCAGUCCGGUUUAUUAUAUCGCCCACCUUUUUAUUUGAAUUUGUUGUCCUUGUUCGGGAUCACAAGAAAGAGGAAGUAGUAUACUGGACACUGCCUAUUAUGCUAUGAAGAGGAUGCUGAUUGGCUGGUCCUGUUGCUAGGAAGAUAUACCUCUCAUGUUAUUUACUGGUUUCUUUUAUAUCGAUUUAAUGUUAUUUUUCUUUGCUGCUGAUGGAAAGAAAGAGUUUAGCAUAAUAGGAGUCUCCGUGUCAUUAAUAAAAUCAUGACUUUACGUUAAUAGUAAUCUGUGAAUUUUUGUUUGCCCAUUUUUAGGGCUGAAGUACAUAAUAAGAAGAAAGAAAACUUUUGAUGGUAGAGCCUCAAAAGCUAAUCGGUCAGAGUGGACACUAAGUCUUCCCUGCUUUAAUAUUAUCAUUAGGGCUGUGACCUGCUGCCAAUGGUUGAGGGUUGGGGGGACACUAGGCUAUACUAGGCCCUCCUCCUAACCCCAUAGGAUUUCUUAAAUUUUUUUUUACUUUUUAGAAACUUUUUUUUUAAGUGGCAGUGUGAUUGCAAGCAUUGGACAACCACAACCUAAUUAACCCCCCCCCAUUGCCAAGGGUUUGUAACCUUUUGUCCACUGGCUGGAAGCGGUUCAAGUGGGCAAAUGGUUUGGAUAUUAUUUAAACCCAGGUCUGUAUUUAAAGCACCCAGGUCCGGAUUUAAUUAAUUUGGUCCGUUUGGUCAGGCGGAAAUCCGAACGAAAUUCAGACUUAUUUGGGGCCUAAAUCACAAAAUCCAGACAUUGAUAAAUUGCACGAAAAUCUGGAUUUUGCAGUACGGGGCCAUUCGAACUUUAGUGGUUUACCCCGUUGGCGUUUGCAACAUUUGGAGAACCAUUCACAGGGUUAUUCACUGAAGUGAGAAUAGAGAACAUAGCUGAUUUAGAGAAUGUUUCCAACUUCGCUAUUUUGACCUUUGAAAUUCGCUUUAGUGAUUAACCCUGUUUGUUUAUCCUUGGCAAAUCUACUCUGUGAAAUAUUGCAACAAUUCAUAUCGUUAGGAAAUAUGGCUCAGGAUCUCAGAGACUGUAGUAAUGACAUCAAGCUAUAAAAAAUACAAUAAUACAAUUUGAGAGUAAUUUGAGAGUAAUUUGAGCUGUAGUUCUGUAAUGUUUGGUGAUGCAUAUUCUGGCCAUCCUUGCUAUAUGAUAAUUACAUUCCCAAAUUCCAUGUCUCAAUGUUGCUUAAGAUAUGCCUCUCUCCCUCAUAUUUGAGUCAUACGAGGUCCCUGCCAGCCCUUCUCUUGCCUCCCUGAGUACACAGAUGGGCACAGACACAAGCAAACCACAGUGCUAAAGAGGCAUGGGAGGGGCCUGAUUUGUUUUUUGGGUUUCUGGGAGGGAGAGGUGUGCAUCUGGCACAGCUGCUAAAAGGCACUCCACCUAAAAAAAAGCUGCAACAAAAACAACAAGUAGAUACACCCAGGUCGGAGGGGAAGGAAGGGAGGGUGCUUUUAAACUGCGCUGAGAGUCUUCAAAUACACUCUGUUCAAAACUCACUCAGAUAAUUGGUCUUAACCCCUUAGCUAUUUCCCCAUUUGAAAAGUGGCCAUUGUCCUGAGAUGUUCAGAAAGCUCAAUACAAAUUAUAACUAAGGGUUUAUUGGCUCUAAACUCCGCUGUCUGGCAAUAUGCCGAAUAAAUGAACAAUCCUUUAUCCAAAUCGUAAUAUCCCAUGUGUUUCUAUAUAUGUAAUGAAGUAGUCAUUUAUUUGGCUCAUCUAUUCCUGGUUUUAUUAGCUACGUAUCUAUUCAUCUGUAUUACUGGAGUAGCGUUGAUUUAGACCCAGGUGUUACCCUGGAAAUCUCUAAUGGAUACAGCACCGGAAUUUAUUGACAUGUCACAAGUCUGAAACUAAUUUAAUAAAAAGGAAGAAACAAAUUCCACAGGGGUUUAUUCACUAAAAAAACUAUUUUUAAUAAACUGAAACCCAAAUUUGCCUCACUUGGAGAAAAAUGUAUACAAUUCCUUUUAUUUCCAUUUUGGAUUUAAAGUGAAUACAUUUGGUUUUCCAAUCAUAAGUCACUGUUCAGUGAGUAAGCCCCCAUCUGUUUUUUAAUAUGUAAAUUAUUGAAUCUGAUUAAAUAAUCAGUAUUAAGCAAAGCAUAGCAUCGCCUUUGGGAAAAUUAGGUGGGUGAAUAAAGGUCAAUUUAGGUGUAAGAGGGUAGUGACUGAUUGGGUUUACUCACCAGCUAGAAAAUGAGGCUGUAUAGAAUAAAAUGGCAGCUAUCACUUAGGGAAUUUGUUUUUUUAAACAUCAACUUGUGAACUGAGUUUUGAUGUUGAAGAACUACAAUUCCCCUGAUGCUUUGCAUGUCUUUCAAAUUCCAUUAUAAUAACAAAGCAUCAUGGAAGUUGUAGUUUUCACACAGCUGGGGAUCUAACUUUUGGGCAGCCCUGGUCUAAUACAUAUUUUGACUUGUGACUUUAGCUUGACUCUAACAAACUAAUUAAACUGAAUGAGAUUACAAAUUACUCUGUGAGGUUUUUUUCAACAUUAUUUAUGUAAUGCUGGAUUGGCUGGCCAGUGUUUUUGUACAAUUCCCACUAUAUUUUAUAGUCACGUAAAAUUUCACUCAAUUCAAUUAUUUGGACAGAGUUUCUAACGAUUAUAACUGACUUUCUAUUGGUUAUCACGUUUGUCUUGCCAGUAAUAUUGUAUCAAUAUUUAAACUGGUAUUCUUCAAUGAUAAUGGGUUUAUUAUUGCUUUAUGAACGUUUGGAGACAUUCCGAAAUACACUACCUCAGUUAGAGGGACGCUGGAGGCACUGUGACUUCUUCAUCUUAUUGAAGUGAUUAUAGUGUCUGCCAUCCUCCGCAACGCAUUCUCAUUCCGUUUUAAACCGCUUUUAAUGUUUUAUUGCUAAUCGGGAGACCCCAGCAACAAAUCCUCUCUGGGCUGCUUGGGCUAAUGGGAACACAUUUGCCUGGUAGGAUUGGGCAGCCGUUGACUGGCUGAGAGUGUUAGCUGACCACUUUUAUCCUAUCAUAGCCUUCAUUGCUGGUAUGACUUGUUAUUGCUUCAAUGAAAUGUGUAAUAUCUGCGUUAGCCAUACAUCUAGUUGGUGCCAGGGUGUGGAUGACAAGGGACCCUCAUUCACUGUUAAACAAAAUGGGUCAAAAGCACCAAUGGACUUCAUGCACAAUAACCAAGUCAGUGAGAUGAAACAUAAUUGGUUACAGUGUAUAGAGCAUAGGAAGGCAACUUUCAGCACUCCAGAUGUUGUGGACUUCAUCUCCCAUGAUGCUCUUAUAGCUAGAAUGCUGGCACUGACCUAGAGUAUCACUUUAAAUAUACCACCCUCACUGGAAUUGCUAAGCAGGUCCAGACUGGCUAUCAGGCAAACAAGGCUAAAGACAAUUGGGUGGGUAUAUUAAAACCACACUGAACCAAUAAUCAGAAGGAUGGGGCUCAUUCUUAAUAGAUUCACUGACUCCCGCCUCUUAAUGAGGCAUGAUGUCAUACCUCCCACGACUGUGUGCGUCAGUGGACAGCAAUCUUAUAUUUCCCUUCCUCUCCAAAAUGUAUGUACGCUGCCAAUAGAAGGGGAGAUGAGUGUCUUUUUAUUUCCUCCAUGAACUUGCAACUCAUGGGACAGGAGGUGGAUAUCAAGGGAGGUUGAAUCAUGAGAUGGAGUGGGUAGCAAUGCUUUUUAAAUGCCUGGGCAUAUUUUUUUUAUCCCAGGCCGUCCCUUCUCAGAAACACUUUUACGUGCCGGUUCUGAGUCAUCUAUCUUGCUGUUUAAACCAACAUUCAAUUAAAUAAAUUGGGCGCCUACAAUGGAUAAGUGCCCCUUAUCGCAUGACCCUCACUUCCUAAAUAUAAAGCGGCAGCACCAAAUAAUCAAGAACCUGCACAUCAAGGGAAACCAUAAUCCACAACAGAAACAAACAAAAAAUAAGUUAUUAUCAUAAAAUGUACAUAAAGCCUGCCUGCUACUGAAGGGGAGGUAACACAAGAAGAAUGAGACACAGUGAAUGUGCUUUGCAUCCAAACUAGACACUUUUAAAACAGUUACUUUGUAUGUUAUGUUUGUAACUAUGUUUUGUAUGUUUAUAUCAUUCCUUCCUGGAACCAAAUAGUUAAUGCUAUCUCCAGACUCAUCUCCUGUAAGAGUGCCAAGUUAUACAAGUGUUAGAGAUAAGUGUUCCUACCAGGAAAGUGGGGAAAAGUAAUAAAAGUGUAAUUCCUGACAAUUCCUUUGCUGCUCAUGGUGAUUGUCCCAGUUUUUAAACUUUGCACCACUUUCUUGACUCCCUUCUUAUCGUAGAAUGCAAAAACCAUAACUCUCUCAUUAAAUUAGGCAAACAUGAAUGGGCAGCCAAUCAUAAAGUUCUGUUUAGUAAAUUGUUAUAAAUAUACCUUUUUGGGGAAACUGAAGCUUUUUCUUAGUGGAUAUGAUUAAUUAUAGCUAUUGUCCUUAAAACAUAGAGACACAUGGUCACUGUAUGAAGAUCAUGUUGUGGAUGUGCUCACUUAGUGGUAUUUUCUUUCUGUAAACUGCUAUGCUGCAACAUUUUUGGGUUUUUACAUCCAUCCUAUCUCUAUCUUUCAUCUGCCAUUACAAUGCACUCUCCAGCCACAAAGUAAUACGUAAAGAAGGUAGCAGGAACUUUGAAAAGAAUAGCGGCUGGGACACUCAUUGAGUGAGUAAUUUUGCUGAACAACAAUAGUUCAUAAAUAGUCUAUGGAGUUUUCGUUCCAUCGUUGGGCAUAUGUGAAGUUAAUUGGUGAAGUGUUAAGUGUGAGUAGAUCCUGAGCUGAUGUUCUCAGUGUUUUAAAAAACAAAACAAAAGUAACAAUGUAACCAUGUCAGGUCCCCAGGCUUUCUGUCCAUUCGUGCUGCCAUUUAAGUAACUCUCGGCCAUAGCUAGGCACUUUCAGAAAACUUUCAGAUAACACUGCUGUAGUGGUGAUCAUAGUUAAUAUCAUCACAAUGUGAAUGUGCUAAAGACAGUUAAUGAAAUAUAAAAGCUCCAGGGCCUGAUGGUAUUUGCCCAUGAGUUCUUAAAGGAACACUAUAUACAAAUGUGUAUUCCUGACACUUUAGGUCUAACUGUAGUUCCCCUGUCCCCCCCAUACCUUACCUGUUUCCAGUGCCACAGGGAUAUGGUCAUUCCUUUGAAAAAAUAUAUGGAACUGCACUCACUCCCAUCAGUCAGAGCCAGGGUGCUUGCUGUACCAGAACCAAACACCAGAUUCCCAGGAUCAAUUGAAUAAAAUAAAAGGGGUCCAGGCACUCCUUGGUUCAAAACAGGCACUUUAUUGGAACCACAGCAACAUUUCGACCAUAAGGUCUUUGUCAAGCUCAUAGGAAUGCAUUGGGAGGCUAUUGCCCAUGCUCGGCAAAAUGCUGCUGUGCCCAAAUCAGCAUCUCCUCAUAGAGAUGCAAUGACUCAAUGCAUCUCUAUGGGGAAAGUUCAGUGCUUGCAUGCACAGCAUGGGGAUGCUGAAUGUCAGCCGAGGGCCACUUAAAUGGCAGCACGCAGAGGGACAGUGUACCUUUAAGGGAUUUUAUGCAGGAUGAAUAUGUAUGUAAUUUACUACUGAGCAGCACUGCCUAGUCCUGCCUGAAUUCCUAAGUAUGCUGGAAAAAAAAUGACGAGUGAAAAACCUACCACUGUGUAUUUUGGGUAGAAUCACCAAGUGCCAUUGCAAGACUUGGUUUAUCUUUUGGUCCCCACCAAUGUGGCACUGGCGACAGUCCAGGCAACUAGGUGAAAAUAUACCUGAUUCGGAUUAGUCUGCAACUGCUCUAACAAGAAAAAAAGCAAAUUAUUAUUUCUGAGGUUAAAAAAAUGGAAGUGGAGACAGACAGUAUGUGCAACUCUCUGUGUCAGUAACAGACAGAGGCUUCUUAUACUAUUCUAAAAAGCUAUCUGUGGUUGUUAUUCUUAUGUAAAACAGUUGAAAGUUACAUCAUAUUGUUUGCAAGGGGGAAUGGUUAGUAUUUUUAAGUAAAUAUAGAAGCAGAACAUUUGUAAUGUGGAUGGGUGAGUACACAAAACAGGAUGUCAAACCAGCAAACAGAAACAGGUCACAUUUCUUUAACCCCUUAAGGACACAUGACAUGUCUGACAUGUCAUGAUUCCAUUUUAUUCCAGAAUUUUUGUCCUUAGGGGGUUGAAGAUUGUUCAUUCAGUUCAGAUUCAGUGGGGUCUCUGUAUAGUAAACAAUUCUUCUGCAAAGUUCUAAAAUUGGGGAAAUUACCAUAGGAAUGCAUGGUUUCCUGCUGGUUGUGCCACCUUUAGAAUGUUAUCUAACAUUUGUUCUUUAUUUAUACAAGAACCAUAGUAUUUGCAGCUUAAGGAGAGGUGAUUUUGCUGGUCAACCCUUUGAGUGCUAUUUGUAUGUGUGAUGCGUUGGAAUAUCCUAUUCAGUUCCAUAGAAAUAGUUAUGAUUCAAAAUACUGGAGAAAAAUAAGCUGAAACAGAGAAACAGGACCAUUGACUAAAGGGAGAAGUCAAAGUCUCAAAUUUAAGGCCAAAAUAGCCAAACUUAUAGAGUACACGGUGCAUGGUCAACCAUGGGUGACAGUUUUGGACGACACUCUAACUUCCUGGCUCUCGUGUGUCACUAGUAUGCUCUUACUCCGACCUUGCCUUUCUCUCCAUAACUUCCUUCCACCCAUAACUGGUGGGUAAGUUGCUACAGGAUACUAAGACGCAAGGGGAUUGCAGUGAGCAAAUGUAAAAAAACAAAAAACAAAAAACACAGCAAAAACAAAACAAAACACGAAAAACACUCUUUUCUCUUUAUCAUACAUUUUCUAUAUAAAUUUAGUUUUCUAUUUUGCUCAUAAAACAUGACAGCAACAUUACACACCAAGUAUUUCUACCUGGGUGGGUGCUUAAUACCUGUAAUACCCCUGGCUGUCAACAUGCCAGGAAUUCAUCUGUUGUGUAUGUCAUGUCCGGUGUAGAACUGAUGAUCUACAUUCAGAAUUCAAAAGCUCUUUAGGAUCCUUUAGCUGCUCACAGAUGACACAUGUCUUCUUGUCCCUUUAAACCUUACCUCUAACCACAAAAACGUCUAUUGCUGAAUGCCAGGAUGUGUUUGAGAUUCCAGCUUGCUACCAGCAAUUACAUAACCAUUCCACUGGAAUCACAUAGUACUGUGAUUAUAAAUCUUGCUAUAAUUGCUUAAUUGACCAAACAUCAGCGAUGGCAAAUGCCGGCACUUUAACUGGUGUGGACUAUGACUCAUAUAACAGUCAGACAGCCUGAGAAAGCAUCGUGGACCUCUGCCCACAACCGCACCUGGAUCAUAGUAUAGCUACUUAUCAUUUUAAUAAAAAAGAAAUGUUUCUUGUAUGUUUUUUUUUUUGCAUUACUCCACGUACAUUGUAAAUCAGAAAGACAGUAUGUGCUCCCUGCCAAGUGUGUGGGGUAAACUUGUCUAUAUUAGUUAUUGUUUGUGACCAGAAUGCAUUAGUUCAUAAGUUUUCCAUUUCUGAUGUUUUGUAGCAGCUACUCCCAAGAUUUAUAACCAUCUGAGAUCUACUGAGGCAUAUGGGAUACAUCUCUCCUGACACAAUUGGUAAGAAAACUCACAGCUUGUGUCACGAAAAUCAUAUUGUGUGAGACUGAGGAAUGACAUACUUUGAAACUCACAGCAAAGCCAGAGCCUUAGUUAACCUCAGUGCUUUGUAAGUCACACAGAGGUCCAUAGUUCAAUGUAAUCAUUGGCUGUGCUUUUCUUGAACAAAAUUAUGAGUAAUACUUAUGGGCUUUGAGGAGACGCUGACCCAGUACACUGUCUUCUUUUUCUUUAUAGGUUGGUGGAAGAUACAAGGACUCCCACAAAACAUUCCACAAUUCUCCAAAAGAGAAUGAAGCAAUGGCUGGGUGAAGCAAUCAGUCCUCAGUAGAUUUUCCAUUUAAAAUAGAAUAGAUCAUGAAUUAGUUUUUAAGCGAUAAGUAUAAGUCAUCACUGAUAAGAAUGAUUCAGGUCUUCCUCAUCUCUAUCAUUCAUAUUAAAAGUUUUCCGCAGAUUCCACCUAAGUCUACCAACCAGCCAAGCAUCGACGAAUAAAGAAUGAUAUUCACACAAGCAAGACACAAUGAGAAGAUACGGGUGUCUUUGGUUAGUGGUUGGUGGAGAUUUACAUCCAAUAAUUUUGAAUCAAAUAUCUAAAUAAAG
Molecule: long non-coding RNA, 18857 nt
Filed under: Pelobates cultripes (western spadefoot toad)
Lineage: Eukaryota; Metazoa; Chordata; Amphibia; Anura; Pelobatidae
Source: RNAcentral